UACGAAGGGUGCAAGCGUUGUUCGGAUUUAUUGGGCGUAAAGCGCGCGUAGGCGGACCUGCAAGUCAGAUGUGAAAUCUCGGGGCUCAACCUGGGAACUGCAUCCAAAACUACUGAGCUAGAGUACGGUAGAGGGUAGUGGAAUUUCCUGUGUAGCGGUGAAAUGCGUAGAUAUAGGAAGGAACACCAGUGGCGAAGGCGACUACCUGGACUGAUACUGACACUGAGGUGCGAAAGCGUGGGGAGCAAACAGGAUUAGAA
RNAcentral lists this ribosomal RNA (260 nucleotides) under uncultured bacterium. RNAcentral describes it as "partial 16S ribosomal RNA". It matches the Rfam family "Bacterial small subunit ribosomal RNA", at positions 524 to 783 of the family's 1533-position model. The record is from RNAcentral.